Molecule: ribosomal RNA, 468 nt
Filed under: uncultured bacterium
Lineage: Bacteria
Description: partial 16S ribosomal RNA
Rfam family: Bacterial small subunit ribosomal RNA
Source: RNAcentral
GACGAACGCUGGCGGCGUGCUUAACACAUGCAAGUCGAACGGAAAGGCCCUGCUUUUGUGGGGUGCUCGAGUGGCGAACGGGUGAGUAACACGUGAGCAACCUGCCCUUGACUUUGGGAUAACUUCAGGAAACUGGGGCUAAUACCGGAUAGGAGCUCCUGCUGCAUGGUGGGGGUUGGAAAGUUUCGGCGGUUGGGGAUGGACUCGCGGCUUAUCAGCUUGUUGGUGGGGUAGUGACUUACCAAGGCUUUGACGGGUAGCCGGCCUGAGAGGGUGACCGGCCACAUUGGGACUGAGAUACGGCCCAGACUCCUACGGGAGGCAGCAGUGGGGAAUAUUGCACAAUGGGCGGAAGCCUGAUGCAGCAACGCCGCGUGCGGGAUGACGGCCUUCGGGUUGUAAACCGCUUUCGCCUGUGACGAAGCGUGAGUGACGGUAAUGGGUAAAGAAGCACCGGCUAACUACGUG